RNAcentral lists this unclassified non-coding RNA (1420 nucleotides) under Hevea brasiliensis (rubber tree). Lineage: Eukaryota; Viridiplantae; Streptophyta; Magnoliopsida; Malpighiales; Euphorbiaceae. The record is from RNAcentral.
ACUCACCACCAGCAUAUGAAUCAAAGUAGCAGCAAUUUCGGUUUCAGUGCGGAAAAUCCCGCAGCAGUUUCACCAAUUGAUUUGAUUGACCACCCAGUGGAGGUAGUAGCAAAGUCAGUGGGUCAGGAAAGUCAGAAGGCUAGCAGCCUAUUCUACCAGCCUUUAUUCUGUCCCCAAAAGCAAGAGCGGAUUUAGCAAUCUAGUUGUCAUCAAGACAGAAUGCCUCUUUGCUUUGCAGGAGUUGAAAAUUACUUAAUUUAAUAAAGGUAGGAAUACGAUUGACUUUCCUGGGAUUGGUGUGUGGUAGUCUCAAUUCAUUCCCUCCUCAAUGCUAAAAAUCGUUAGGCCGACAAUUGAUAGUGCUAGCACAGGAAAAGGAACGUAUGCAGUAGCAGUAGGAGGCACCUAUCCUUGUUUUAAAAGUAGCAGUCAUAAUAGCAAGAUGAGUAGCAGGGGAAUUAGAGGAAGCAUCCAAUUUGACAUUAUAAAGGGGGUGAACGCACUACUAGUCGUAGGGCGGAAACGGUCUAACAAUAACUCAUGAACUGAGGCUAAGAAAAAAGAUUCGAAAUUGGAAAAUCAGAAGAAAAAACUUCUAUCGCAGAGAUGUUUAAACGAGUGGUUUUCCCUAGGCCUUUCAGGCUGGUUGUUUAGUUUAACCGAAAAGAGGCCUUAGGUUAGGUGUGCAGUAGAGGUUGAGUAAUUUAGUUUGAAAUGCCCUAAUGAGGUAGUAACAAGGCUUACUCAAGAUCACUAGCUCCUCGAAGCAGACCAGAGAGACCUAGUCAAGGAACAAGCCGAGAGAGCUACUGCACUAACUAACUAACUCGGGAAAACAACAACUCUCUUUCUAGAGCUACGGAUCGGGGGGCUACUCAACGCCCACUAGGGUACCCUCUUUGAGAAGCUCCUCUGAGAAGUUCAGAAAAGAGCUACUUAAGGACCAGCAUCAAGUCAGUCUUACCUUUCCUCUCCUUAAGAACUCAAGAACUCGGAGCUACCUGGAAGCCCUAACUCCGAACUCUUUACUCAUUAGGUGUACAUGGAUUCCGCUCUUCCCGAAGCCGAAAAAGGUUCUGUUCUGAAAGAGCUCGAGCAUAGUGUACGAAACGAAAGGGAAUGAGGGAAUGAAGGCUGAUAGGUUGAGCAUACCUUACACGAGAAGGAGAGAAGAGGCUCGUACAACAGGUAGAGGGUUGAAGAGUGGAAGACCCUUCGUGUAGCCUUCUUCUAUAAGAAGCUGCGACGAAGCGAAUCUCUCAUCUGGAACCCUCUCACUGCCAGCUUGACGGCUUGACUGCAUUACCUUCGUCACCUUCCCUUUGUCCCUUAACUGCUGACAGCAAUUAGCAAGUAAUCCCGGAUUUGGGUUUGUCUCGUGCAAAACAUCAUUUCUGGAUAGGAAUUCAGCCAUUUGCCG